GAUGAACGCUAGCUACAGGCUUAACACAUGCAAGUCGAGGGGAAACGACAUCGAAAGCUUGCUUUUGAUGGGCGUCGACCGGCGCACGGGUGAGUAACGCGUAUCCAACCUGCCCACCACUUGGGGAUAACCUUGCGAAAGUAAGACUAAUACCCGAUGAUAUCUCUAGACGACAUCUGAAAGGGAUUAAAGAUUUAUCGGUGAUGGAUGGGGAUGCGUCUGAUUAGCUUGUUGGCGGGGUAACGGCCCACCAAGGCAACGAUCAGUAGGGGUUCUGAGAGGAAGGUCCCCCACAUUGGAACUGAGACACGGUCCAAACUCCUACGGGAGGCAGCAGUGAGGAAUAUUGGUCAAUGGGCGAGAGCCUGAACCAGCCAAGUAGCGUGCAGGACGACGGCCCUAUGGUUGUAAACUGCUUUAUAAGGGAAUAAAGUGAGUCUCGUGAGACUUUUUGCAUGUACCUUAUGAAUAAGGACCGGCUAAUUCCGUG
RNAcentral lists this ribosomal RNA (490 nucleotides) under uncultured bacterium. RNAcentral's name for it is "bacterial SSU rRNA". It matches the Rfam family "Bacterial small subunit ribosomal RNA", at positions 28 to 507 of the family's 1533-position model. The record is from RNAcentral.